GACGGAGGGUGCUAGCGUUGUUCGGAAUCACUGGGCGUAAAGGGCGCGUAGGCGGCUUUGGCAGUCGGCUCGUGAAAGCCCGGGGCUCAACCCCGGAGGUGCGGCCGAUACACCGAGGCUUGAGGCCGGAAGAGGAGGGUGGAAUACCCAGUGUAGAGGUGAAAUUCGUAGAUAUUGGGUGGAACACCGGUGGCGAAAGCGGCUCUCUGGUCCGGUCCUGACGCUGAGGCGCGAAAGCGUGGGGAGCAAA
This 250-nucleotide ribosomal RNA is filed under the name uncultured bacterium. RNAcentral's name for it is "partial 16S ribosomal RNA". It matches the Rfam family "Bacterial small subunit ribosomal RNA", at positions 524 to 772 of the family's 1533-position model. The record is from RNAcentral.